UACACUGCCUUAUAAGGCUGAAAUGCUGCUGCCAGAGAGCUGUGGGGCCCAGGCCUUGAAUUCUUGGUGCACCAGUGCUUGACAGGCUCCCCUUAUUUCCCACUGGCACCGCUGGGCCUAGGGGUUUUCCUAUUGUUUUUCUAAAGGCAUUCCAAGGCCAGGACAAUGUUAAUUUAAGUUCCUCCAGGCUGAAUUUUUUUUUUUUUUAAUUACAGAGGGGUGUCACUAUGUUGCCCAGGCUAGAAUGCUGUGCACUACAACAGGCUCAAUUCUCUCUCUCUCUCUUUUUUUUUUUUUUGUCGGAGAUGAGAUCAGCUAAUAACAGACUCAAUUCCUGACCUUCCUAGUUUUCUGAGACUGCAUCCACUUUGAUAGUUUCUACUGAGUCCAAAUUAGAACAUCCCAGCUGGUGGGCUGUCUCCCAGGAAGCCCUCGGAGAGGAGCGGUGCAUAGGGGGCACCUGGACACAGCCCACCUCCCCCGAGUAGCGUCAGGUAGGCUUGUCUAUCUACAUCCUUUCGCCCUUUCUCAGGAAACUAUCAGAUGAUGUGCUCCCCCAGAUGAAGAAGUAGUGCCAGGAAAAAGGAGACACGGGAUACAGGGAUCCUGAAGCCGGCGGAGGACAAGGGAGCUCCUGGGAGGACAGCUGUGCUCCGGCCUAGCAAUAGCGAGCAGCUGGUCCAGACUGCCGCCGUGACUCAGAAGAUAGACAUGCGGAGGGUUAUGAUCACAGAGCAACGAUGGUCCUUGUACAUGAAGAUAAAAAUGCUCAGGUGUGCCCAGGUUGAAGAAGAUGAAAGGCCCUGCCUCCCAGAGCGCCCGGGGACACUGGUGAUCUCUUCCAGGUCUGUUUCCACCCACUGCAGCUGUGAUGGAAUCUUGCUCUGUUGCCCAGGCUAGAAUGCAGUGGCGUGAUCUUGGCUCACCAAAAAUUCUGCCUCCUGGGUUCAAGUGCCUCCACACCCAGCUAAUUUUGUAUUUUUAGUAGAGACGAGAUUUCACCAUGUUGGCCAGGCUAGUCUUGAACUCCUGACAUUGUGAUCCACCCACCUCAGCCUCCCAAAGUGCUAAGAUUACAGGUGUGAGCCACCAUGCCCGGCCUACCUGGAGCAUUAUUAAAACCUUAAACCUUUAAAUUUUUC
RNAcentral lists this long non-coding RNA (1142 nucleotides) under Homo sapiens (human). RNAcentral describes it as "novel transcript". The record is from RNAcentral. Lineage: Eukaryota; Metazoa; Chordata; Mammalia; Primates; Hominidae.